This 453-nucleotide ribosomal RNA is filed under the name Triticum aestivum (bread wheat). RNAcentral describes it as "partial small subunit ribosomal RNA". The record is from RNAcentral. Lineage: Eukaryota; Viridiplantae; Streptophyta; Magnoliopsida; Poales; Poaceae.
AUGGGGACGCUACCGCUCGUGGACCUGGUUUCUUCGGGCAAGCGAACUAUAGAAGAUGGUGCAUCCUCGGGUACGGCAGAGUCAGAUCUGGCAGCGAUGAUGGAAGAGUUGGGCUUGAAGGAAGAUGAUCUCCAGGAUGUCGUGGUGGAGGACGAUGAACUCCCGAAAGAAGCGACUCGUUGGAUGGCCCUGGCUAGGGUUCACACUGAAAAGUCCUAUAGCCAGAAUUGGUUCUACAAGAAUAUGAGAGUUGCAUGGGAUCUGGCAAAGGAAGUGAAAAUCAGACCGCUGGAGGAGAACUUGUAUACAUUGCAGUUUGCGUGCCUCAGCGAUUGGGAACGCGUUAUGGAGGAGGGCCCGUGGACUUUCAAAGGGAAAGCGGUGAUCGUGGCACCCUAUGAUGGUUUCACUAAACCCUCGUUGAUAGAUCUCACCAAGCUAGACAUAUGGAUG